ACUUUGCUUCUUCCCGCUGAAGAGGUUUACAACCCGAAGGCCGUCAUCCCUCACGUGGCGGUCGCAUGCAUCAGGCUUUCGCCCAUUGUUGCAAUAUUCCCCACUGCUGCCUCCCGUAGGAGUCUGGGCCGUGUCUCAGUCCCAGUGUGGCCGGUCGCCCUCUCAGGCCGGCUACCCGUCGUCGCCUUGGUAGGCCAUUACCCCACCAACAAGCUGAUAGGCCGCGGGCUCAUCCUUCACCGCCGGAGCUUUUAACCCCGUCCCAUGCGGGACAGAGUGUUAUCCGGUAUUAGACCCCGUUUCCAGGGCUUGUCCCAGAGUGAAGGGCAGAUUGCCCACGUGUUACUCACCCGUUCGCCACUAAUCCACCCCGAAAGGCUUCAUCGUUCGACUUGCAUGUGUUAAGCACGCCGCCAGCGUUCGUCCUGAGCCAGGAUCAAACUCUA
This 446-nucleotide ribosomal RNA is filed under the name Streptomyces flavogriseus. Its description in RNAcentral is "partial 16S ribosomal RNA". Lineage: Bacteria; Bacillati; Actinomycetota; Actinomycetes; Kitasatosporales; Streptomycetaceae. The record is from RNAcentral.